RNAcentral lists this unclassified non-coding RNA (643 nucleotides) under Hevea brasiliensis (rubber tree). The record is from RNAcentral. Lineage: Eukaryota; Viridiplantae; Streptophyta; Magnoliopsida; Malpighiales; Euphorbiaceae.
CUCUUUCCCGUGAGAAAGAUUCUGCCAUGCCUUUUGCGCACCACCCCCAGUCUCAGAGUUUUCAUUCAGUUGGACCCAAUCACUGGGUGAAGGGGCCCUAAUAAUUCGCCGUCCUUGCCUAGAUCCAGAUAUUCUACCAGAAAGAUCACUAUCAUCAUCCUCCAAAUCACUAAAGGACACAUCCUCUUCAUGUUCAGGCUUUUUCUGUCUGUCCAGGGUUGUGCCAGUAUCAAUCUCUCUCUCUUUCAACCAGUGCUCCGCAUUCUCGUCAUCAUCAAUUUCUAACCUACCAGUUGCAUUUACAAUGGAACUGACCUCCUUUUCCCUAGAUGGGAUAUUCUCCUCUUGCCUCUCACUGACUUUGAUGCCCUCUUGAGAUGUAUCAAUAGUAGCAGAACUCUCAGAGCUCUCCACUUCCACAUUUCUCUUGUUUUGCAGGUUCUGCAGAAGUACACUUCUUGUUUCAACUAUCUGGGGAGUUGAUAGAAUCUCAGAGUCAUGUUCAUUCAGUCUUGGAAGUAACAAUAUAAAAUAUAUCAUCCAAAAUCGUUCAUCCUCCAUAUAACUAUGAAUGUUAGCUCUAAGAGCUGUAAGACCAGGAACCAUUUGCUCAACAGUUGAAGCAUGUUCUCUCUGAGCAUCA